AUGGCCGAAAAGUGGUUGAGCUGGCCGAAAUGGCUGUUUUCGGCUGCUGUUUGGCCGAAAAGGUCUUUUUGGUCAAAUUGUAGACCGAAAAGUCCCUUGGGCCCACCUUUCCCUUAUCUGUUGGCCAAUGCAUUUUCCCACCAACUUCUUAGGUUGCAUGAAAGAUGGAAGAAGGUGGUGGUGCCGAAGAGUGAAACUUUCAGAAGGCUUUCAGCAAAUAAUCCAUCUUUAUGGAUUGAGGAGAGCCAGGACGAAGAUGAUAUCUUCAUGCCCCGCUUCCGGGUUCUGCAUCGUCGAAGGGCAAGAGUUCUUCAUCGUCCAAGGGCAAGAGUUCUCCAUCCUCGAAGGGCAAUAGUUCUGCAUCGACGGAUGGCAAAAGGACCACAUCGUCGAAGGGCAAGAGGGCUGCAUCAACGAAGGGGUUGGCGGGAAAAUACAUUGGCCAACAAUUAA
RNAcentral lists this ribosomal RNA (453 nucleotides) under Triticum aestivum (bread wheat). RNAcentral's name for it is "partial small subunit ribosomal RNA". Lineage: Eukaryota; Viridiplantae; Streptophyta; Magnoliopsida; Poales; Poaceae. The record is from RNAcentral.